GAUGAACGCUGGCGGCGUGCCUAAUACAUGCAAGUCGAGCGAACAGACGAGGAGCUUGCUCCUCUGACGUUAGCGGCGGACGGGUGAGUAACACGUGGAUAACCUACCUAUAAGACUGGGAUAACUUCGGGAAACCGGAGCUAAUACCGGAUAAUAUAUUGAACCGCAUGGUUCAAUAGUGAAAGACGGUUUUGCUGUCACUUAUAGAUGGAUCCGCGCCGCAUUAGCUAGUUGGUAAGGUAGCGGCUUACCAAGGCGACGAUGCGUAGCCGACCUGAGAGGGUGAUCGGCCACGCUGGAACUGAGACACGGUCCAGACUCCUACGGGAGGCAGCAGUAGGGAAUCUUCCGCAAUGGGCGAAAGCCUGACGGAGCAACGCCGCGUGAGUGAUGAAGGUCUUCGGAUCGUAAAACUCUGUUAUUAGGGAAGAACAAAUGUGUAAGUAACUAUGCACGUCUUGACGGUACCUAAUCAGAAAGCCACGGCUAACUACGUG
RNAcentral lists this ribosomal RNA (497 nucleotides) under uncultured bacterium. RNAcentral's name for it is "partial 16S ribosomal RNA". It matches the Rfam family "Bacterial small subunit ribosomal RNA", at positions 28 to 507 of the family's 1533-position model. The record is from RNAcentral.